RNAcentral lists this long non-coding RNA (3011 nucleotides) under Salvia miltiorrhiza (redroot sage). Its description in RNAcentral is "long non-coding RNA (SMIL_LNC000550)". The record is from RNAcentral. Lineage: Eukaryota; Viridiplantae; Streptophyta; Magnoliopsida; Lamiales; Lamiaceae.
UGCAAAUCCUAAAUUAAGGAUCUAUGGUGUGCGUGUCGAUCUUGCUUUAUUUCAAGUUACAGUUAGUGGCUACUGCCAGUACGGACUUAUGAUAUAUUCUGCUGAAGAACUGGACCCGGUAUCAUUUGGACAUCCUAAUGAAUCACCUCAGAAUGAACAACAGUCAAGGUAUGCACAGUAUACUUGGCACAAAUUUAUUUAGUUAUGGUUACAUGCUAUUUUUUGUAUUUUUGUAAUAAUGUAUAAGGUUUAUUGCAAAAGAACUCACGACCUUUAGUAAUUUGUGUGAUCUAACCAUAUUAAUUUGUGUGUAAUAAUGUAUAAGGGAUGGCAACGGGCCGGAUCUGGACCGGGUCUGGCCAAUACCAGAUCCAGAUCCGUUUUCAUAUACUAGAUCCAGAUCCGUGGAUCUGAAAUUUGUAUCCAGAUCCAGAUCCGUCAGAUCCGCGGGUCCACUGGUUAAAUGUUUCAUUUACUUUUUUAGAUUAAAUCAUGCAAAUUUAACAAAAUUGAGAGUUUGUAAUUUCCAUGAUGAUAAAUAUUGUACAGAUACUUUUAUCUAAUAGUUUUAGUUUUUAUUCUUUUAAAUAUAAUUUAUUUAUUAUUUUUAAUUUAGUUUAAUAUUAUUAGUAACUAAAUAUAAAAUAUAAAAAACAUAUAUAAAAUAAAACGGAUCAGGGUGGAUCUGGGCCGAUCCGGAUCUAAAAUUUCAAGAUCCAGAUCCAGAUCCGUUUUCAAAACUGAGAUCCAGAUCCCAGAUCCAGAUCCCAUCGGGUUCAAAAAAUUGAGAUCCAGAUCCGUAAAACGGUCUGGAUCCACGGAUCUGGACCGGGUCCAAGAUCCACUGCCNGUCAUGGUCCUACACAGCAGGGUUCUCUAACAGAUCACUCAUUCCCUUUCCUGGAGUCUUUGAAUGAGGUACUUCUGUAAAACCUCGAACGUUUAGUUUAUAAAAUAUGAGUGUGAAGAUUAAUCUCCCAUUGUUGGUGAAGAAUAAAAGUUUUGAGCUCAUGUUUUGCCUCUAGGUUCUGGAAACUAACAGAGCUGAGGAGUCUCAGAGUCACAUGCACAGGCUGUACUUUAUGGGUCCAAAUACAUUUAGUGAACCUUGGCAUCUUCCUCAUUCACCUCCUAGACAAGUUAAAGAAAUAGUGUAGGUUUUCUCUGUCAUUAUUGCUCUGAUCUGUUUGGCAAAUUAGAGCAAAUAUGCUGCAAUUGCUUAUUUUAUUAUUCAAAGUUGCAAAUACGAUUCAUUUUCUCCUUGCCAAUUAUAAGAGAUAUUGCUGAUUUAGAGAAAAUUUUACUUUUCUUAUGAAAUGGCAGAUAUGAGGGCGCAUAUAAUACAUUUGUGGAUGAGAUCAAUGUGCUUGCUGCCUAUCAGUGGUGGGAAGGGUCAGUGCAUAUUAUUCUUUGUGUUCUCGUUUAUCCUCUUGCAUGGUCAUGGCAACAAUGGCGACGAAGAAUUAAACUACAAAAAAUUCGAGAAUUUGUACGGUCUGAAUAUGAUCAUGCUUGCUUGCGCUCCUGCCGUUCACGUGCUCUGUACGAAGGAUUAAAGGUUAGUUUCUCAAGAAUCAUAUAUCAGCAGAAAUUCUCAUGGUGGAUGCCUUCAUUUUCUUGAAAAACUCAUACCAUUCUGGCACAAAUUCUGGGACUAACACUUUGGUGUGCUAUUGUUUUGUCCCACUAUUCCCAGAUAUAGGAUACUUUCCCUGAUUAGCAUUAACUGAUCUCAACUGUGAUUCAUGUUAUUGUCAAAUACCAGCUUUAGAGUCCCUUCUCAUAUAAUAUUUGUAAUGCAUGAAAACUUUGCUAAAAAUUUACAUGGUUCGUUGGGCUAGCAGGAGUUUUAUUUUGUGUAUAGGGUUAAGUAGCAAAUACACCCCUAAUGUUAACAACGAAAAGCAAAUAGAUCUCUGACGUUAUGUUUUGUGCAACUAAAUCCCUAACAUGCACAAAUUGGAGCAAAUAGGUUCCUAACUUUCACAAAUUGGGGUAAAUAAGUCCCUCCAUCUAAUGGUUGUUAACUUCCCGUUAAACGGAGUGCCCCAAUUUGUCUCAAUUUGUGAACGUUAAGGACCUAAUACAAAACAUAAGGUUAGAGGCCUAUUUUGCUUUUUCAUUGUAAUUGUGAGGGUGUGUAUUUGCUCCUUAACCCUUGUUUAUAUUGAUUUGUGCCGGAUAGAAUGUUGUGAGUGUGUUUGUUUGCAACUAACCCCAUUAUACAUGUGCGUCCUGACCAUUUCCUUGAAAUCAAUUUCUUUUAGCUUUAAAUUUGAUACCCCUCAAUCAUAUUAUUGCUGACAUGUGUUACUUUAGGUUGCUGCAACACCAGAUCUUAUGCUAGCAUAUCUUGAUUUUUUCUUGGAGGCGAUGAAAAGAGAAGUGACCUUCCUCCUUGUCUCAGUCAAAGAUUUCCAAUCUCUCUAAUAUUUGGAGGAAAUGGGAGCUACAUGGCUCCUUUCGCACUUCAUAAUGACAACACCAUCACCAGUAUCAUGAGUCAGGUUUGUUGUCUAAGUACAGGAAACUGAAGACCACUUUUUUGAAUCAAGCAAACUCUGAAAAAGGCAUUUCAUCGGUAUUUAUUAAUAGAUGCAUUAUUCUUCUGAAACACAUCUUUUCUUCAGGCUGUGCCUCCCACUACUUGGUACCGAUUUGUUGGCUGGCUUGAAUGCGCGAUUACGCUUGGCUCACAAGGGUUGUCUGAAAAGGAAGUUUCGCCCAGUCAUUGAAUGGCUCGAAACUUGUGCAAAUCCUAAAUUAAGGAUCUAUGGUGUGCGUGUCGAUCUUGCUUUAUUUCAAGUUACAGUUAGUGGCUACUGCCAGUACGGACUUAUGAUAUAUUCUGCUGAAGAACUGGACCCGGUAUCAUUUGGACAUCCUAAUGAAUCACCUCAGAAUGAACAACAGUCAAGGUAUGCACAGUAUACUUGUGCACAAAUUUAUUUAGUUAUGGUUACAUGCUAUUUUUUGUAUUUUUGUAAUAAUGUAUAAGGUUUAUUGCAAAA